This 699-nucleotide ribosomal RNA is filed under the name uncultured bacterium. RNAcentral describes it as "bacterial SSU rRNA". It matches the Rfam family "Bacterial small subunit ribosomal RNA", at positions 799 to 1498 of the family's 1533-position model. The record is from RNAcentral.
GCCGUAAACGAUGUCUACUAGCCGUUGGGAGACUUGAUUUCUUAGUGGCGCAGCUAACGCAAUAAGUAGACCGCCUGGGAGUACGGCCGCAAGGUUAAAACUCAAAUGAAUUGACGGGGGCCCGCACAAGCGGUGGAGCAUGUGGUUUAAUUCGAUGCAACGCGAAGAACCUUACCAGGUCUUGACAUCCUGCGAAUUUUCUAGAGAUAGAUUAGUGCCUUCGGGAACGCAGUGACAGGUGCUGCAUGGCUGUCGUCAGCUCGUGUCGUGAGAUGUUGGGUUAAGUCCCGUAACGAGCGCAACCCUUGUCCUUAGUUGCCAGCACAUAAUGGUGGGAACUCUAAGGAGACUGCCGGUGACAAACCGGAGGAAGGUGGGGACGACGUCAAGUCAUCAUGGCCCUUACGACCUGGGCUACACACGUGCUACAAUGGAACGCACAGAGGGCUGCAAAGGCGCGAGCUGGAGCGAAUCCCACAAAACGUUUCGUAGUCCGGAUUGGAGUCUGCAACUCGACUCCAUGAAGUCGGAAUCGCUAGUAAUCGUGAAUCAGAAUGUCACGGUGAAUACGUUCCCGGGCCUUGUACACACCGCCCGUCACACCAUGGGAGUGGGUUGCAAAAGAAGUGGGUAGACUAACCUUCGGGAGGUCGCUCACCACUUUGUGAUUCAUGACUGGGGUGAAGUCGUAACAAGGUA